UUGAACGCUGGCGGUAUGCUUUACACAUGCAAGUCGAACGGCAGCGCGGGGCAACCUGGUGGCGAGUGGCGAACGGGUGAGUAACAUAUCGGAACAUAUCCGGAAGUGGGGGAUAACGUAGCGAAAGUUACGCUAAUACCGCAUAUGCCCUGAGGGGGAAAGGGGGGGAUCGCAAGACCUCUCGCUUUCGGAGUGGCCGAUAUCAGAUUAGCUAGUUGGUGAGGUAAAGGCUCACCAAGGCGACGAUCUGUAGCUGGUCUGAGAGGACGACCAGCCACACUGGAACUGAGACACGGUCCAGACUCCUACGGGAGGCAGCAGUGGGGAAUUUUGGACAAUGGGCGCAAGCCUGAUCCAGCCAUGCCGCGUGAGUGAAGAAGGCCUUCGGGUUGUAAAGCUCUUUCAGCCGGAAAGAAAUCGCACUGGUUAAUACCUUGUGUGGAUGACGGUACCGGAAGAAGAAGCACCGGCUAACUACGU
Molecule: ribosomal RNA, 480 nt
Filed under: uncultured bacterium
Lineage: Bacteria
Description: bacterial SSU rRNA
Rfam family: Bacterial small subunit ribosomal RNA
Source: RNAcentral